RNAcentral lists this long non-coding RNA (308 nucleotides) under Androctonus crassicauda. The record is from RNAcentral. Lineage: Eukaryota; Metazoa; Arthropoda; Arachnida; Scorpiones; Buthidae.
CUGCAUAUCACCAUCAUUUUCCCCCUGAUGAUGCAUUUUGGAACUAUUUAUUUUCUUUAUCGAAAUUGAAUCUCCAUAAUAUGGAAAGUAUACCAAAUUUUGCUGAGUUUGGCCGAACAGAUUCUUGGCUAUUGGACUUUAAACAUCUCCUCUUUAAUUAUGGCCAUCCUAUAUAUGCAUGCUGCAUUCUCUUUGUACUAAUAGUGUGUCCUAUAAUAGUGGCUGGAUGCACCAUAUUUAUUUCUAAAAUUGGGUAUUUCUUCUUGAUUAUAUUAUAUUAUUAAAAAUAUGUGGAUGUAUGUUCAUAU